AUACGUAGGGGGCGAGCGUUGUCCGGAAUGAUUGGGCGUAAAGGGCGCGUAGGCGGCCCGGUAAGUCUGGAGUGAAAGUCCUGUUUUUAAGAUGGGAAUUGCUUUGGAUACUGUCGGGCUUGAGUGCUGGAGAGGUAAGUGGAAUUCCCAGUGUAGCGGUUAAAUGCGUAGAGAUUGGGAGGAACACCAGUGGCGAAGGCGACUUACUGGACUGUAACUGACGCUGAGGCGCGAAAGUGUGGGGAGCAAACAGGAUUAGAUACCCUGGUAGUCCACACUGUAAACGAUGAAUGCUAGGUGUAGGGGGUAUCGACCCCUUCUGUGCCGCAGUCAACACAAUAAGCAUUCCGCCUGGGGAGUACGGCCGCAAGGUUGAAACUCAAAUGAAUUGACGGGG
Molecule: ribosomal RNA, 397 nt
Filed under: uncultured bacterium
Lineage: Bacteria
Description: partial 16S ribosomal RNA
Rfam family: Bacterial small subunit ribosomal RNA
Source: RNAcentral